This is a long non-coding RNA of Lemur catta (Ring-tailed lemur), 352 nucleotides long. RefSeq lists it as uncharacterized. The transcript is spliced from 3 exons. The record is from RefSeq and is a predicted model, not a curated record. Lineage: Eukaryota; Metazoa; Chordata; Mammalia; Primates; Lemuridae.
UGGGUUCUUUGCCCCAUAACACCUCUGGGCAGCCACCAGAGGGCUCUGGGGCAGAUGCAUCCAGUGGAAAGACCGAGUUGGAAAUGACAGGGCUGGCACCUGCCUCCUCACUGAAGUCUGGGAAAUCAGGAAAUUGACUGAAGAAUUCUUAGAAUUUACUCUACUUUUCAACUACACCAUUUUACAUUCCUACCAGUGAGAGAACCCACAGGAGUGGUCUGUGAGUGGUACUGGGGAAACUGGGGGGAGAUGGCUCAGCAGAAUUGUCUGGACAGAGGUCACCGUCCUCACUGGAGACGCUAUGAUUAAACAGCAACAGCCUGAAGCUGAAACCCCCCCUUAAGAGCUCUGU